Long non-coding RNA from Dreissena polymorpha, 532 nucleotides. RefSeq lists it as uncharacterized. The record is from RefSeq and is a predicted model, not a curated record. Lineage: Eukaryota; Metazoa; Mollusca; Bivalvia; Myida; Dreissenidae. The transcript has 3 exons.
CCUUAAUCGUCAUACCUUGCAUGUUAAUGUGAAUUCAAGCAGAAAGGAUUGAAAUUGUAUACGAAUGUGUUAUUCCUGUACAUUAAAGUCUCUUCCGAUUGAAAGUGAAACCGAACGGACUGAAUUAUUAUACGUUGUUGGCGGCUAUUCGCAAGAUGUUCGGUGAAUUUGAACCGUGGUGUCUCGAGAUGGCGUCCUUCAUACAAGAAGAUGUGGUUACUAACUACCUUUUUCAGACAAUGGAUACGCUGGAUUACUUGGUGGCGGAAACAAGCUUCCAUCAAAGCCCAGUUACGACUGAAAACACGUAUGACGUCCUGAAAACUCUGGCGUCCUUGUAUGUACAAAGUUCUCGUGCAAGAAACGUCAUUGAAAUUUUAUGGAGAACGUGCUUCUAAAUUAUUUUGAGCAAAUGGGAGUAACACUUUAGUAACAAGUGUGAACAAAUCACACGAAUGAUUGUUCUUGAAAACUUAUUUUGAUCUGAUUUAUUUCCAUUUUUAUGUUUUAUUUUAUUUAUUUAUUUAAUCAU